UGGUUCGGUUGGUAGAGCAUGGCACUUGCAAUGCCAGGAUUGUGGGUUCCAUUCCUAC
Molecule: transfer RNA, 58 nt
Filed under: Salmo salar (Atlantic salmon)
Lineage: Eukaryota; Metazoa; Chordata; Actinopteri; Salmoniformes; Salmonidae
Also listed under: 1 other name
Rfam family: tRNA
About the family: Transfer RNA (tRNA) molecules are approximately 80 nucleotides in length. Their secondary structure includes four short double-helical elements and three loops (D, anti-codon, and T loops).
Source: Rfam by way of RNAcentral